GUGCAGGAAGACGGCCCUAUGGGUUGUAAACUGCUUUUCCGAAAGGCGAAACUUAGCGACGUGUCGUUAAUUGACGGUAUUUCGGGAAUAAGCAUCGGCUAACUCCGUGCCAGCAGCCGCGGUAAUACGGAGGAUGCAAGCGUUAUCCGGAUUCAUUGGGUUUAAAGGGUGCGUAGGCGGACUAAUAAGUCAGUGGUGAAAUCCUGCAGCUUAACUGCAGAACUGCCGUUGAUACUGUUAGUCUUGAGUUUGGUUAAGGUAGGCGGAAUGUGUAAUGUAGCGGUGAAAUGCUUAGAUAUUACACAGAACACCGAUUGCGAAGGCAGCUUACUGGACCGACACUGACGCUGAGGCACGAAAGCGUGGGGAUCGAAUAGGAUUAGAUACCCUGGUAGUCCACGCCGUAAACGAUGAUUACUCGCUGUUGGCGAUACACUGUCAGCGGCUAAGCAAAAGCAAUAAGUAAUCCACCUGGGGAGUACGGCCGCAAGGUUGAAACUC
Molecule: ribosomal RNA, 501 nt
Filed under: uncultured Gammaproteobacteria bacterium
Lineage: Bacteria; Pseudomonadati; Pseudomonadota; Gammaproteobacteria
Description: bacterial SSU rRNA
Rfam family: Bacterial small subunit ribosomal RNA
Source: RNAcentral